CCUACGGGAGGCAGCAGUGGGGAAUUGUUCACAAUGGGCGCAAGCCUGAUGACGCAACGCCGCGUGGAGGAUGAAGGUCUUCGGAUUGUAAACUCCUGUUGCCCGGGACGAAAAGCUUCGACCUAACACGUCGAAGUCUGACGGUACCGGGUGAGGAAGCCCCGGCUAACUCUGUGCCAGCAGCCGCGGUAAUACAGAGGGGGCAAGCGUUGUUCGGAAUUACUGGGCGUAAAGGGCGCGUAGGCGGCCUGCUAAGUCGAACGUGAAAUCCCUGGGCUCAACCCAGGAACUGCGUCCGAUACUGGUUGGCUUGAAUUCGGGAGAGGGAUGUGGAAUUCCAGGUGUAGCGGUGAAAUGCGUAGAUAUCUGGAGGAACACCGGUGGCGAAGGCGGCAUCCUGGACCGAUAUUGACGCUGAUGCGCGAAAGCCAGGGGAGCAA
Molecule: ribosomal RNA, 440 nt
Filed under: uncultured bacterium
Lineage: Bacteria
Description: bacterial SSU rRNA
Rfam family: Bacterial small subunit ribosomal RNA
Source: RNAcentral